CCGCUCAUAGCGAAGCUGGAUAUCGCAUCAGAUUCCGAUUCUGAAGGUCGUGGGUUCAAGUCCCUCUGGGCGGACCA
This 77-nucleotide transfer RNA is filed under the name Candidatus Paraimprobicoccus trichonymphae. Its description in RNAcentral is "tRNA-Arg". It matches the Rfam family "tRNA". Rfam says of the family: Transfer RNA (tRNA) molecules are approximately 80 nucleotides in length. Their secondary structure includes four short double-helical elements and three loops (D, anti-codon, and T loops). Further hydrogen bonds mediate the characteristic L-shaped molecular structure. tRNAs have two regions of fundamental functional importance: the anti-codon, which is responsible for specific mRNA codon recognition, and the 3' end, to which the tRNAs corresponding amino acid is attached (by aminoacyl-tRNA synthetases). tRNAs cope with the degeneracy of the genetic code in two manners: having more than one tRNA (with a specific anti-codon) for a particular amino acid; and 'wobble' base-pairing, i.e. permitting non-standard base-pairing at the 3rd anti-codon position. Lineage: Bacteria; Bacillati; Bacillota; Clostridia. The record is from RNAcentral.